This 1185-nucleotide ribosomal RNA is filed under the name Triticum aestivum (bread wheat). Its description in RNAcentral is "partial small subunit ribosomal RNA". Lineage: Eukaryota; Viridiplantae; Streptophyta; Magnoliopsida; Poales; Poaceae. The record is from RNAcentral.
AUGAAGAAUCGGAAAACCACAGAUUUUAUCAGUGGCGUGACAGAGUUCAUUAAUUUGGCUGAAAGUACAAAGAGGAGAAUUGGUGAUGCGGAUUACAUCCUGUGUCCAUGUAUUGAUUGUGCCAAUACAGAGUCACAUGAAGUUGCAGAUGUCCAGAUGCACUUAGUCUCUAUGGGAUUCAUGGAUGGAUAUACACGUUGGACUAGACACGGUGAAGAGGAGGCCAUGGAUGAAGAUACCCAAGGCAGCGAGAUGCCAAACCCCGAUCAGUGUCACAUGGAUGUUGAAUCUAACAUCGGGGCAAAGGCAUCAAGCUACCAAUGGAAUACCGGAAAGCCGGAACGCCCACUGGAAAACCAAGACGUCCACGCAGAUGAUGACGAUCUUGAUAUGCCAGAUUUUGCUGCUAUGAUUGCAGAUUUCGAGGGCCCAGAAAAGGAUAUGAUUGGGUACAAGGAUCUGCCAAUCAUUGAUGCGGACUCCAAGAAAGAAUUGUAUCCAGGUUGCAAAAAGAAAUAUUCCAGGUUGAGUGCCACCCUGGCGCUUCUCAGAUUUAAAGCAGCAAACAGUCUAUCAAACAAGGGUUACACAGAGAUGUUAGGUCUUUUGAAAGAAAUUCUUCCGGAAGAUAAUGUGCUCCCUAGAAGCAUGAAUGAAGUGAAGAAAAUUGUUUGCCCAUUGGAACUUGAAGUACAGAAGAUACACGCUUGUGUGAAUGAUUGUAUAUUGUACCGUGGUGAGUACAAAGAUUUUCGUGCAUGUCCCACAUGCAAGCAUGCACGAUACAAGCGCAGGAGAGCAAAGGAAAAGUACAAAUUGGACGAUGAGAUCAAGACAGGAAUCCCGUUCAAGUGCAAGAGUGAAGUAGAAGAUGAUGACAAAUUCAUCAAAGCUCGCCAGAGUUACAAUGUCAGUACAAAAGAAGCAACACCGUUCUUCACCUAUUUGUUGUCAGUUAAGACACCCUCUUCCUACUGCGCAAACAUCAGAAGUCUCGUGGAUAGAAGGGUACUGGGUGUCGACGAUGUUGCUGAUGAGGGCAAGUACGAUGAAUUUGAUGAGUUGCCAACCAAGGAAUCACACACCCGUGCAACAGAGCAGCGUAAAAUCAUCAAAAACCCCAAGUUCAUUCGGGGUCAACUUAAUGAUCCCAGUUCCCCCAUGUACAUGGGAAUUAAGUCGUAA